ACAUUGGUGGUUCAGUAGUAGAAUUCUUGCCUUCCACACAGGAAGCCUGGGUUAGAUUCCUGGCAAUGCA
RNAcentral lists this transfer RNA (70 nucleotides) under Loxodonta africana (African savanna elephant). It matches the Rfam family "tRNA". From Rfam's summary of the family: Transfer RNA (tRNA) molecules are approximately 80 nucleotides in length. Their secondary structure includes four short double-helical elements and three loops (D, anti-codon, and T loops). Lineage: Eukaryota; Metazoa; Chordata; Mammalia; Proboscidea; Elephantidae. The record is from Rfam by way of RNAcentral.